Molecule: ribosomal RNA, 257 nt
Filed under: uncultured prokaryote
Description: partial 16S ribosomal RNA
Rfam family: Bacterial small subunit ribosomal RNA
Source: RNAcentral
UACGUAGGGUGCGAGCGUUGUCCGGAAUUAUUGGGCGUAAAGAGCUUGUAGGCGGUUUGUCGCGUCUGCUGUGAAAAUCCGAGGCUCAACCUCGGACUUGCAGUGGGUACGGGCAGACUAGAGUGUGGUAGGGGAGACUGGAAUUCCUGGUGUAGCGGUGAAAUGCGCAGAUAUCAGGAGGAACGCCGAUGGCGAAGGCAGGUCUCUGGGCCACUACUGACGCUGAGAAGCGAAAGCAUGGGGAGCGAACAGGAUUA